Molecule: transfer RNA, 72 nt
Filed under: Phrynosoma platyrhinos (Desert horned lizard)
Lineage: Eukaryota; Metazoa; Chordata; Lepidosauria; Squamata; Phrynosomatidae
Description: tRNA-OTHER
Source: RNAcentral
GCCAGUGUGGCACAGUGGUUUGAGCAUUGGAUUAUUACUCUGGAGACCAGGGUUCAAAUCCACACUCAGCCA